Molecule: ribosomal RNA, 1120 nt
Filed under: Proteus mirabilis
Lineage: Bacteria; Pseudomonadati; Pseudomonadota; Gammaproteobacteria; Enterobacterales; Morganellaceae
Description: bacterial SSU rRNA
Rfam family: Bacterial small subunit ribosomal RNA
Source: RNAcentral
UGGGGUUGAUCAUGGCUCAGAUUGAACGCUGGCGGCAGGCCUAACACAUGCAAGUCGAGCGGUAACAGGAGAAAGCUUGCUUUCUUGCUGACGAGCGGCGGACGGGUGAGUAAUGUAUGGGGAUCUGCCCGAUAGAGGGGGAUAACUACUGGAAACGGUGGCUAAUACCGCAUAAUGUCUACGGACCAAAGCAGGGGCUCUUCGGACCUUGCACUAUCGGAUGAACCCAUAUGGGAUUAGCUAGUAGGUGGGGUAAAGGCUCACCUAGGCGACGAUCUCUAGCUGGUCUGAGAGGAUGAUCAGCCACACUGGGACUGAGACACGGCCCAGACUCUACGGGAGGCAGCAGUGGGGAAUAUUGCACAAUGGGCGCAAGCCUGAUGCAGCCAUGCCGCGUGUAUGAAGAAGGCCUUAGGGUUGUAAAGUACUUUCAGCGGGGAGGAAGGUGAUAAGGUUAAUACCCUUGUCAAUUGACGUUACCCGCAGAAGAAGCACCGGCUAACUCCGUGCCAGCAGCCGCGGUAAUACGGAGGGUGCAGGCGUUAAUCGGAAUUACUGGGCGUAAAGCGCACGCAGGCGGUCAAUUAAGUCAGAUGUGAAAGCCCCGAGCUUAACUUGGGAAUUGCAUCUGAAACUGGUUGGCUAGAGUCUUGUAGAGGGGGGUAGAAUUCCAUGUGUAGCGGUGAAAUGCGUAGAGAUGUGGAGGAAUACCGGUGGCGAAGGCGGCCCCCUGGACAAAGACUGACGCUCAGGUGCGAAAGCGUGGGGAGCAAACAGGAUUAGAUACCCUGGUAGUCCACGCUGUAAACGAUGUCGAUUUAGAGGUUGUGGUCUUGAACCGUGGCUUCUGGAGCUAACGCGUUAAAUCGACCGCCUGGGGAGUACGGCCGCAAGGUUAAAACUCAAAUGAAUUGACGGGGGCCCGCACAAGCGGUGGAGCAUGUGGUUUAAUUCGAUGCAAUGCGAAGAACCUUACCUACUCUUGACAUCCAGCGAAUCCUUUAGAGAUAGAGGAGUGCCUUCGGGAACGCUGAGACAGGUGCUGCAUGGCUGUCGUCAGCUCGUGUUGUGAAAUGUUGGGUUAAGUCCCGCAACGAGCGCAACCCUUAUCCUUUGUUGC